GAGUUUGAUCCUGGCUCAGAUUGAACGCUGGCGGCAGGCCUAACACAUGCAAGUCGAACGGUAGCACAGAGAGCUUGCUCUUGGGUGACGAGUGGCGGACGGGUGAGUAAUGUCUGGGAAACUGCCUGAUGGAGGGGGAUAACUACUGGAAACGGUAGCUAAUACCGCAUAACGUCGCAAGACCAAAGAGGGGGACCUUCGGGCCUCUUGCCAUCAGAUGUGCCCAGAUGGGAUUAGCUAGUAGGUGGGGUAAUGGCUCACCUAGGCGACGAUCCCUAGCUGGUCUGAGAGGAUGACCAGCCACACUGGAACUGAGACACGGUCCAGACUCCUACGGGAGGCAGCAGUGGGGAAUAUUGCACAAUGGGCGCAAGCCUGAUGCAGCCAUGCCGCGUGUAUGAAGAAGGCCUUCGGGUUGUAAAGUACUUUCAGCGAGGAGGAAGGCAAUACGGUUAAUAACCGUGUUGAUUGACGUUACUCGCAGAAGAAGCACCGGCUAACUCCGUGCCAGCAGCCGCGGUAAUACGGAGGGUGCAAGCGUUAAUC
RNAcentral lists this ribosomal RNA (546 nucleotides) under Yokenella sp. RNAcentral describes it as "bacterial SSU rRNA". It matches the Rfam family "Bacterial small subunit ribosomal RNA", at positions 9 to 546 of the family's 1533-position model. The record is from RNAcentral. Lineage: Bacteria; Pseudomonadati; Pseudomonadota; Gammaproteobacteria; Enterobacterales; Enterobacteriaceae.